UUGGAGUCCAGCACUAAUGCGCCCGCCUGCCUUCCCUCAGCCUACGCGUCGGUCUUCCUGGAGUGAACUCCUCCCGCCCUUCCCCCGCUCGCGAGCCCCAAUCUAUCCUGAGCUCACACGUGCGCGCCUCCACAAACUCCUACUGAGCACCAAACGCGUGUGCGGCCUCCCCGACCGCCCAGAGGUAUGGCCCGCUCUCCGCAGGCCGCGACCUUUGCAGGGAAACGCGCCACAGACUAGGAUGAAGUCGCAACUGGGAAAGAAUGGAUGAUGAAAGAGAUUGAAAGGAAAGCCCCAUCUCUGUGCCCGGGGGCCUGCAGACCUGGAGUCUUUCUCCAGUGCAACGCUGUCCAAUCCAACUAUGACCGGAUCUCCACUCAGACUAGCCUCAUGAAAGGCUCAACAGUUGCAUGUGGCUGGGGCUCUGGUAUUGGAUAGUGCGGCUCCAGAGAGCCAGCUGACCACGUGCUGGGGCUGGGCUGGUGUGCAGGAGCAGUCGCCCGGUACAGGGGAUCAGGGAGGAGACAGGGGUCCGGCACCUCUGUAUCCAGCCUGACAUGAGUCUCUUCACUCCAGCCUGCACCUCGCCCCAGCCCCCCACCAUCCCUGGACACCCCUCAACCUCUCAAACCUCCCUGUAAUGAGCUGAAUGGUGGCCCCCGAAAAGACAUGUCCAAGUCCUAAUCCCUGUACCUGAAUGUGACCUUAUUUGGAAAAAGGAUCUUUACGGACGUAACUAAGUUACAGAUCUCAAGAUAAGAUCACCCUGGAUUAUCCGGGUGGGCUCUGAAUCCAAUGACUGUUGUCCUUGUUUGACAGAAGAGGAGAGACACACAGGGGAGAAGGCCGUGUGAAGACAGAGGCCGAGGUUGGGGUGAUGCUGCCACAGGAACAGCAGGAGCUGGAUGAGGCAGGAAGGAGCAGCCUCCAGAGCCAUGGGAGAAUGAAUUCCUGCUCCCACCCCACCGGACACCGACACGCUGCUUGCCCCUCGGGCUCCCCUCUGCAGCUCUCUCUGCUCCGCCGGGUCAGUUCUCCUUGCCUGCUCUCCUUGCCCUGUGUCUCCUUCAGGCUUUGUUCCUUUGCUGCCAUCAAAGUGACGCUUGAGGAGUGAGAGGAGACCAGCUUCUCUGCACAGCUGUCUUGUUUAACUGCAAGUCUUGGUCUUGACCAUGGUUUUACCCUGCUCCCCUCACUGGGUCACAACUGUCCAUGGAUCUGGCCCUAGAAUGAGGUCCCAUGCCCCCUAUUUACUUAGACAGCCUGUGUUCGUUUCCGGGGGCUGCUGUAACCAAUGACAACAAAUAGGGGAGCUUAAAACAGUAACAACAUUUUUCCCCUGCAACUCUGGAGGCCAGAAAUCCAAGAUCAAGGUGUCAGCAGGACCACGUUCCCUCCGAAGGCUCCUGGGGAGGAUCCUUCCUGCCCCGCCCAGCUCCUUGUGCUCCUGUGUCAGCUUCACCCCAGCCUCGGCCUCCGUCUUCACACGGCUUUCUCCCCAUGUGUAUCUUCUCUCUGUCUCAGAAAGACACUUAUCCUUGGAUUUAGGACUCAUAUGGAUAAUCCAAGAUGACCUCAUCUCAAGAUCCUUAAUUACAUUUGCAAAGACCCUUUUUUCAAAUAAACUCCCAUUCACAGGCACCAGGGUUAGGACUGAGACCUACCACUCAGCCCACUACACAACCUGGGCCCCAAGACAAAUUUAAGUGGCUCCAAUCCCAUUUCCUUUGCCUUGUCCAAGGGCAAGAGAGGGGCCUCAUUGGAUCUGCUGUGCCCAGCCGGCAGGCUGGGCCCUGAUGCAGACUUGGCUCUAAGGACUCCCCGGCCCCCGCUGGAAUCCGUGUCCUGCUUCGACUUCUCUGGUGGGGACAUGAGUCCGUGUGAUCCUGCUAAAACAAUCGCCCCUGUCUGCCUCUGAGCCAGCUGGACCAGG
Molecule: long non-coding RNA, 1933 nt
Organism: Physeter macrocephalus (sperm whale)
Lineage: Eukaryota; Metazoa; Chordata; Mammalia; Artiodactyla; Physeteridae
Exons: 3
Source: RefSeq, a predicted model, not a curated record